CGGCCCCGGGGCCAUAGCAGAAACGGCGCCCACACCGAGCCCACUGCGCGGGGGCAGGGUCCGAGGGGAGGCAGGGAGUCCACGUCUCCCGUUUCAGAAUCACGGAAGAAAAUCUUCCCGAUUCAGUUCACGGUCCUGAGGGGCAAAAAUGUCUGUUCUGCGAGGGUCACUCAGUUCCGGUCUGGUGGGGGGCGGGGGAGCACGCUGACAGCCAGUUGCCCCGGCGGGAGCCCUGGACCCUGGCUUUUCAUCACAGCCAGAAUCUGUGCUGGGAUCCAGUUGGCCAUCCUGGCCUCCCCAGUCCUCAGGGUCUGGGGAACAGAAAAAGAGCGCGGGGCGGGGGGCCUGGAGGCGGUGGGGUGGAGUGGAGUACAGAACGGCCUUCGUGUCCCUGGCGUCUCCGGAGGGGCUGGCUCCCAGCUCCAUUCUGAGGAGUUGGAAUCCCACCCAGUCCUGUUGUUGUGAUCUCAAUUCAAGAGGAAGGUGUGAUAUGGCGUCUGUCUGGGUUGGACACCGAGGGACAAUGAGAGAUCAUCCAGGCUUUAACCCAUCUGUGGAUGCUGAGGCGAUUCAUAAGGCAGUCAGAGAAAUCGGAACUGAUGAGAAGACGCAGCUCAGCCUCUAGAGGAUCACAGAGAAGGAGGCUUGUUGUGAAACUGAGUCAGAAGGAUGCUCUUAUAGCAGACUUUCAAGACAACCCUUAGCCCGGGAUAACAACCAGAGGAUGACUGGCCUGAGAACUUGGUAUUCCAGAAAGCAGAAUUCAGUUUUGACACCAGGAAGGGGACUAACAAAAGGAACGAUAUCUUCACGGAGGCGGCUUGUAUAUUCUGGAACUGUACCUUCUAUGGGGAGACCCGGCCCUUGGGUUCAUAGCUUGUUCCCCUGGGGGCUGAAUGGACUUGGGUCAUAAGGGAAGUUUGUGAUACUUCCAUCAGGCGUGGUUCGCCCUAGCUCGCUAUGUGCUGCUUCUCCCCGUUUUUGAAAAGAAGGCAUCUUCAUGCCACAUCAGGCUUCGCCUCAAAGGAGAACACAUUUGGAGUGCCUUUCAAGUGAUGCAAACUCCCUGUACCAAACCAGUGCACAGAGUUCAUUGGGCAGCACUUUGGCUCAUUUUCCUAGGUAUAGGACAGGCCUAGAUGGGAAAAAGGCAAGGUUUGGUCUCCGAAGUAAACCCGCACUGGGGCUGGUGUUCACUCACUGAAUAGGAUACACUUUGCAAGGAGAAACGUUGCACAUUCAUCUUUUGUGGAGUUUGUGAGAUUUCCGUCCGGCGUGGAUUGCCCUAGGUCACUGUGUGCUGCUUUUUCCCGCUUGUGAAAAGAAGGCGUUUUCAUGCCACAUCAGGCUUCUCCUCAAAGGAGAACACGUUUGGAGUGCCUUUCAAGCGAUGCAAACUCCCUGCACCAAACCAGUGCACAGAGAGCACCUUGGCUCAUUUGCCGUAUGUAUAGGAGUGGCCUAGGUUGGAAAAAGGCAAGGGUUGCUUUCCCGAGCAAACCCGCACUGGGGCUGGUGUUCGUUCACUGAGACAGGAGCUCCUGAGUGUUACAGCUCUUAAAGUCACCUCUUGACCAGGUCAAAAUGACAACGGUCUUCUACCACCUGGCUUUCUUCAGGAAGUGAUAAAAUAUCCCAACCCAACCAGCUCCUGCCCCAGGCAUCCUGUCAGGCCCUAUUGGCCAGAAUAGGGUAAGAUGCUCUCCACACCCCCAGCCACUCCUAACAAAGAGGAAGGGGAGGACCGGGAUGGAUUUCCUGCAGUCACGAUGCAUUCCCAGGUAGCCCAUUGAUUGCAUCAGGAGACCCGAACAGUUCACAUUUUAUUCAUGAGUAUUACUGUGGUUCCGGGUAGAAGAAAUGGCUGCUGGGAAAAUACCAACAAUGUUUGUAAGGACAGUCACGGACCAAAAGUCCGCAGAGGGUAUGGAUUGUCCUUGGAGCUGAAGAAGUCACGGAAGAUAGGGAGUUCCCAUUGUGGGACAGCAGAAGUGAAUCCGAGCAUCAUCCGUGAGAAUUUGGGUUCGAUCCCUGGCCUCACCAGUGGGUCAGGGAUCCAGUGUUGCUGUGAGCUGUGGAGUAGGUUGCAGAUGCAGCUUGGAUCCUGCAUUGCUGGCCCUGUGGUGUAGGCUGGCUGCUGCAGCUCCUAUUAGAGCUCUGGUCUGGGAAGGUCCAUGUACCACGGCUGUGGCCUAAAAAAACAGUUACAGAAAAUAAAGACAGGGGUGCAGUGGUGCCGGCAGCACAUGGGACUAAAGUCUUCAGUGAUGAGCACAACGACAGAGAAGGGACAAAUGACUGCCCAGGAGGAGUGAUGAGGCUGUGUCUAGGAAGGCCACAACCACCUUACCAGACGGGCGGCCUGCUCCCUCUGUUGCCCUGGACCCUCGGGUGUGAGGACCGAUCCUCUGCUCAGAGUCCAGCCUCCUCUGUCCUCCUUGCUUCAUUCUACCUGCAGCCCACCCAUCUUUCUUUGGAUCUGCCUUUCUUUGAGAAGUUAUCCUCUGUAUUGGCUAUCAGGUGGCAGAACCUGUGGACCCAAAAGGAGCAGUUGCACUGGCAGGGACUAGGUGGACCUCGGGUCGCCAUGGAAAACUCUUGGUGGAGCACAGGCAAGAGUUGGGGCGGGAGGACCUGCACCCCAUAAGAAAUACCCACCAGCUCUCAGAUCCUCGAGGGUUGUAGGAGCACCGAGACAUUCAAGCUGGGAAAUGAAGACUGUGAUAGGGCAGAGCGAGACCCAAGCUUCCCCGGGCAAUGGCAGCGUGAGCUCCUGUCCAACUGCCAAAAGAUGAGAGUUGGCAUCUUACCAGAAGGUUUGGAGGGAUAGGAUGAGAGACGCCUGGCCAUUGGCCGGAAGCGCAUGGCGGGGGAGGGGGUUGCGGAAGCUGCCUCGUGAUUGGCCCGGGCCACGGGGAUGUCACAGGGAGGCAUUGUGACUUGAGGGCAAGGCAGUUAUAAAAGCCCAGUGCUUCCACCGUCUCCCAGACGGAGGAUAUGGCUUUUCAGCUGUUCCUGCUCUUGCUCUUCAAGGCGGUGUCCUCUGCCGCCUUCUCUGCACCUGCACAUGGCAUGCCCCAGGCCCACCUGUCCUGCCCCGGGCCUCUCACCCACACUUGGUGUACCACAUUCCUGUUCGCAUCCAGCUUUGAGCCCCUUUGCGGGCGGAUGAGCCUGCGCACCCGCACCCGGCGCCUCCUCCACCCGCAGCCCUCCUCGGGCCUGGCCCAGCUCCUCAACACUGUGCUCAGGUUCUACAACAGGGGCUUGGACGUCUGGAACCAGAACCAAGCAGACCCCCACGCGGAGGGGAAGCAGCCCUCCCAGCCCUGUUGGCCAAGAGACCUGGACACGUGCCACGCCUCCAACUCCACACUGCACAGAAGGCAGCUGGCCACCCCUCCUCAGACAUCCAUGGACCCCAGAUCCAAGAUCUCCACCUUGGCCCUCCUGCUCCACAAAGGAGAGUCACAGACUCACAGGGCGAGUUCCUGUACCUCCUGCCCACCUCCAUGCAACCUCUCAAAGGGCUCUCCAGCCCAUGUGGGACCACCAGCCUGGGUGAGGCGACUGGUCCAGUUAGGGCCACCAGUCCUGGCAGGGCCAAAAGUCCAGGCAAGGCGACCAGCCCAGGUGGGACCACCAGCCCAGGUGAGGACACCAGCCCAGGAAGGACCAGCAGCCCAGAUGGGACCAGUGGCCCUGGUGAUGCUACCACCACAGGUGGGACCAACAGCCCAUGUGGGGACGUUUCCCCAGGCAGGAGCAACAGCCCAAGUGGGGCCACCAAGCCUUGCGGGACCAAUGGCCCCAAUAGGGACAGCAGCCCAGGUGAUGGGGCCACUAGACCAGGCCACGACUCCAGCUGAUGCCAGGCUACCAGCCCAGGCAGGCCCAGCAUACCAGGUGGGGCCACCACUCCAGGCAAGUCCACCCGCCCAGAUGUGUCCGUCACCCCAGGCGAGGCUACCAACCCAGGUGGGGACACCAGCUCCUCUGGUGCCACCAGCCCAGUCAGGUCCACCAGCCCAGGUGGGGCCAACACCCCAGGCGGGGACACCAGCCCAGGCAGGGACACCAGGAUCGGCGAGGAUACCAGCCCAGGCGGAACCAACAUGCCAGGCCAGGCCAACAGCCCAGACGGGGACACCAGCCAUGACAGAAACCCUGUGGUCACAGCUAGGCUUUGGAAACAUUGAGAGUUUGCUCCUUCUGUUGACUCGCUGUGCUCUGGUGCUGCUCUUUUCCUUCUGGACAUUUAUCUCAUGCAGAGAGAUAAAGGACUACCGUGAGUUCCAACAAGAGCAGCUGGCAGAGCUGGGCAAAGGAUUGAAGAUGAUGGGUAAAGCCCUGGGAGAACUUGAGAAGACACUAAAUGCAGAAAGAGAACAUAAAAAUCAUCUUUCCAAGGAGCUGUCUGAGCUGAAGGCAGAGCUCAGAAUUUCUGAAAAGGAAACAGAGAGAUGGAAAAAGCUGUUUUUUCUAUUGUCCCGGGCACAACACCUUUUGAAGGCCUUCCCGGAAGAUGCAAAGGGGCACUGUGUGCAGGUGGAGCAGGGCCCUUAGAGGCAGGCCCAGGCCUGGGAGCUGGAGAGUUUCUUCCUCCCUGUGCACGCCCCCUAGAGGGGGAGAAGAGGGGUGGGGAGGGAGGGCAAAGCGGAGGCUAGGGUAGGGGUGCUGGGACAGAGACGUGGCCUGAAUUUCAUGAUGUAUGUAUAUUUUGAAUAAAUAAUUGAAUGUUGGAAG
This 4746-nucleotide long non-coding RNA is filed under the name Sus scrofa (pig). Its description in RNAcentral is "lncRNA (ENSSSCG00000050540.2)". The record is from RNAcentral. Lineage: Eukaryota; Metazoa; Chordata; Mammalia; Artiodactyla; Suidae.